UACAGAGGUCUCAAGCGUUGUUCGGAUUCAUUGGGCGUAAAGGGUGCGUAGGCGGCGCGGUAAGUCGGGUGUGAAAUCUCGGAGCUUAACUCCGAAACUGCAUUCGAUACUGCCGUGCCUUGAGGACUGGAGAGGAGACUGGAAUUUACGGUGUAGCGGUGAAAUGCGUAGAUAUCGUAAGGAAGACCAGUGGCGAAGGCGGGUCUCUGGACAGUUCCUGACGCUGAGGCACGAAGGUCAGGGGAGCAAACGGG
This 254-nucleotide ribosomal RNA is filed under the name uncultured bacterium. RNAcentral's name for it is "partial 16S ribosomal RNA". It matches the Rfam family "Bacterial small subunit ribosomal RNA", at positions 524 to 776 of the family's 1533-position model. The record is from RNAcentral.